Pongo abelii (Sumatran orangutan) is the source of this 75-nucleotide non-coding RNA. NCBI's taxonomy places the organism in Eukaryota, Metazoa, Chordata, Mammalia, Primates, Hominidae. The record is from Rfam.
CUUAAGAUGGCAGAGCCUGGCAAUAGCAUAAAACGUAAAACUUUACAAUCAGAGGUUCAACUCCCCUUCUUAACA